RNAcentral lists this ribosomal RNA (380 nucleotides) under uncultured eukaryote. RNAcentral's name for it is "partial 18S ribosomal RNA". It matches the Rfam family "Eukaryotic small subunit ribosomal RNA", at positions 592 to 976 of the family's 1831-position model. The record is from RNAcentral.
CAAUAGCGUAUAUUAAAGUUGUUGCGGUUAAAAAGCUCGUAGUUGGAGUUCUGCCAGGUGCCGCCUGUCCGCCCCAGUGGUGAGUACGUGGCGCGCGUUUGGCCCUUUCAAGGGGAGCGUAUCUGCACUUUAUUGUGUGGUGCGGGAUCCUUGACUUUUACUUUGAGGAAAUAGGAGUGUUCCAAGCAGGCUCUCGUCGUGCACAGCUCAGCAUGGAAUAAUAGCAUUGGACCUCGAUUCUAAGCUGUUGGUUGCCAGAAGCGAGGUAAUGAUGAAGAGGGAUAGUUGGGGGCAUUCGUAUUUAACUGUCAGAGGUGAAAUUCUUGGAUUUGUUAAAGACGGACUACUGCGAAGGCAUCUGCCAUGGAUGUUUUCAUUGA